UCAGCUCGUGUCGUGAGAUGUUGGGUUAAGUCCCGCAACGAGCGCAACCCUUGUCUCUAGUUGCUACGAAAGGGCACUCUAGAGAGACUGCCGGUGACAAACCGGAGGAAGGUGGGGAUGACGUCAAGUCCUCAUGGCCCUUAUGGGUAGGGCUUCACACGUCAUACAAUGGUCGGAACAGAGGGUUGCCAACCCGCGAGGGGGAGCUAAUCCCAGAAAACCGAUCGUAGUCCGGAUUGCACUCUGCAACUCGAGUGCAUGAAGCUGGAAUCGCUAGUAAUCGCGGAUCAGCAUGCCGCGGUGAAUACGUUCCCGGGUCUU
Molecule: ribosomal RNA, 321 nt
Filed under: phenanthrene-metabolizing bacterium DGGE-band-4
Lineage: Bacteria; Pseudomonadati; Pseudomonadota; Betaproteobacteria
Description: bacterial SSU rRNA
Rfam family: Bacterial small subunit ribosomal RNA
Source: RNAcentral